UUGGGUUAAGUCCCGCAACGAGCGCAACCCUACGUUUAGUUGCUAACGCGUGAAGGCGAGCACUCUAGACGAACUGCCGUUGACAAAACGGAGGAAGUGGGGGAUGACGUCAAAUCAUCAUGCCCCUUAUGUUCUGGGCUACACACGUGCUACAAUGGCCGGUACAGACGGACGCAAAGCCGCGAGGCGGAGCAAAUCCGAAAAAGCCGGUCUCAGUUCGGAUUGCAGGCUGCAAUUCGCCUGCAUGAAGUCGGAAUCGCUAGUAAUCGCAGGUCAGCAUACUGCGGUGAAUACGUUCCCGGGCCUU
RNAcentral lists this ribosomal RNA (307 nucleotides) under uncultured Pelotomaculum sp. Its description in RNAcentral is "bacterial SSU rRNA". It matches the Rfam family "Bacterial small subunit ribosomal RNA", at positions 1075 to 1382 of the family's 1533-position model. The record is from RNAcentral. Lineage: Bacteria; Bacillati; Bacillota; Clostridia; Eubacteriales; Desulfotomaculaceae.